GACGAACGCUGGCGGCGUGCCUAAUACAUGCAAGUAGAACGCACAGUUUAUACCGUAGCUUGCUACACCAUAGACUGUGAGUUGCGAACGGGUGAGUAACGCGUAGGUAACCUGCCUGGGAGCGGGUGAUAACUAUUGGAAACGAUAGCUAAUACCGCAUAAUAUUAAUUAUUGCAUGAUAAUUAAUUGAAAGGUGCAAUUGCACCACUACCAGAUGGACCUGCGUUGUAUUAGCUAGUAGGUGAGGUAACGGCUCACCUAGGCGACGAUACAUAGCCGACCUGGGAGGGGGAUCGGCCAAACUGGGACUGGGACACGGCCCAGACCCCUACGGGAGGGAGCAGUAGGGAAUCUUCGGGAAUGGACGAAAGUCUGAACGAGCAACGCCGCGUGAGUGAAGAAAGGUCUCGGAUCGUAAAGAUCUGUUGUAAGAGAAGAACGGGUGUGAGAGUGGAAAGUUCACACUGUGACGGUAUCUUACCAGAAAGGGACGGCUAACUACGUG
This 505-nucleotide ribosomal RNA is filed under the name uncultured bacterium. Its description in RNAcentral is "partial 16S ribosomal RNA". It matches the Rfam family "Bacterial small subunit ribosomal RNA", at positions 28 to 507 of the family's 1533-position model. The record is from RNAcentral.